UUUAGCGUCCAGCUGGGUACUAAAACAACAACAACACAUGGAACCCGGUGGUCGGGUUUCCUCAAACUACACGUUAACCUUACCUCCGUGUUAGCCAUGUUUGUCGCCGAUGGAUGUCUAUAGUGGGUUUGUCAGAGGUAAUGCUUUAGCUGAGUGGAUGUUGAAUACUGACAAAACACAACACCGAAGCUUCUGGUCGUGAAGCACGAGCGAGGCAAUUUAUACUAAAGCUGUGUGUAUCACUUUAAAAGACGUCACCGAAGACGUUCGACGCUUCACUAAGGAAGGAAUAACGGCGGGGAAAAGGAAAACUACCGUCGUGCUCACCGUGCUCACCCCUCAACCAAAGAUCUCCUAAGAGAACACAACAAACAUAAGCCUCACACUACCAGGGUGUAAGUUGGUUUGUCAACUGCUAAAAAAAACAUAAAGAAGAAGAAGACAAGAGGAAGAACCGCUCAAACAGUCGCGAUUUGUUUCAGCAUUGGUAAAAUUCAGCUGGAAACAUCACAUUAAAAAAUGACUGAAAUGAAUGGACCAAUGGACAAAGUUGUCAAGGUACAGAUUUUCUCCUGUGUCUACUGAUUUGUGGUUUGACAAUUUAAUUCUGUAAUACAUUUCUAAGGAUUGGCUCCAGCACCCAGAAACACCCUGGUAAAACAGAAGAGGAGCCACAUGCAACCCAUUCUUUCGAGUGGUGUUGGGGUGACAAGAAACCUACAACUUGGGCCUGCAAUAAAGCAGGAACUAUUGAGGACGUACUGAAGAGAAGUCAAAAGUUUAAAGACAUU
Long non-coding RNA from Perca flavescens (yellow perch), 791 nucleotides. RefSeq lists it as uncharacterized. The transcript is spliced from 3 exons. NCBI's taxonomy places the organism in Eukaryota, Metazoa, Chordata, Actinopteri, Perciformes, Percidae. The record is from RefSeq and is a predicted model, not a curated record.